GGAGUGCAGUGGUGCAAUCUCAGCUCACGGCAGCCUCGACCUCCUGAGGGCAAGCGAUCCUCCCACCUCAGCACCCCCUGCUCCUCCAGUAGCUGGGACUACAGGUGCACACCACCACGCCCAGCUAAUUUUUUUGUAUUUUUGGUAGAGACAGGGUUUUGCCAUGUUGGCCAGGUUGGUCUCAAACUCCUCACCUCAAGGAUCCACCUGCCUCGGCCUCCCAAAGGGCUGGGUUCACAGGCUUGAGCUACUGGGCCUGGCCAAAGUCUUUCACAGAUUUUUAUAAGAAGGUUAGAGAAGUCACCCUUAGACCAGAGCUCUGCCUCUGACAUUGGCCCCUACAGAGGGGUUGUGAGUCGCUUUAUACAGCAGAGGCCCCAGGCUGGGAGAAGGAUUCCCACUCAAUAUUCUUUCUACGUUUCAGAACUUUCUACUUCAGAUCCCUGAAGGAGCCUGGAAUCGGAGCACACCCCAGUGAGGGCACGGCAAUCUCUGCAUUUUCACAAGCACGGCAAGUGACUCUGAUCACACUAAAGUUCCAGAAUUUACUCAAGGUGAGGGCCUGAACCUACCUUAACCUAGAAUAUUUUUACUCUGCCAGGCAUGCAGCUUCCCUCUGGGAUGAAAAUCUUUCUCUCUUUCUCACUCUACCUCUUUUUGGCUCUGAAAUCCUCUCCUCACCAUCUCUUUGCAAAGGAAUUCCCCAUCCUUUUCAGUUGUCUUUUCCUUUCUCUCUCCAGCCUCCAACCCCCUCCCUGAGCUAAUCCCACCGUCUCAGUUUCACCCCUUCCCCUCUCUAGGGGCAGUUGGGUCAAGCUAGGGGAUGAGUCAUCCUAGGUGGAGGAGGGGAUUUCAGGUCCAUAAAUGGGCAAAAACUCAGAUUUCAGGUUUCUGUGUCUAGGAAAAGGCCAGUCUGUCCCCUCUAUCUCUCCACCCCCAAAGGAAUUCCCCAGGGAAGAAGAGGAAAGAGUCUGGGGCUGGCUUUGACCGGAUGGAAUCCUAGAAAUAGCAGAGCUUUUUAGGAGAUAGGUUUCAGUGUGACUCAGCUUCCCUGAUAAACAGACACUGCCGGCCAGGAUUUUCCCAGCCCAAGAGGCCAAAACCCCCACUUCCCAGUGGAAGUGUUCAGCUCUGCCUUUGGAGUUCUGGGCCCAGCCAGCACCACUGCCUCCAUCCUCCUCACCAUUCUCUUUCCAUGAUCAGAAUUCGAGCUCCAAGCUGCAUUAACCUGAGCUCUGGCCUGUGAGGGCACCUAGCUAUUG
Molecule: long non-coding RNA, 1262 nt
Filed under: Macaca fascicularis (crab-eating macaque)
Lineage: Eukaryota; Metazoa; Chordata; Mammalia; Primates; Cercopithecidae
Description: lncRNA (ENSMFAG00000064627.1)
Source: RNAcentral